RNAcentral lists this unclassified non-coding RNA (298 nucleotides) under plant metagenome. RNAcentral's name for it is "partial contains small subunit ribosomal RNA, internal transcribed spacer 1, and 5.8S ribosomal RNA". The record is from RNAcentral.
UUUCCGUAGGUAAGUACAUCACUCGGACCCCCCUACCCCCUCGACCGACAGCUGCUAACGAAUUUUUAGGUGAACCUGCGGAAGGAUCAUUAUCGAGUUAGGGUCUCUGGCCCGACCUCCAACCCUGUGUCUACUAUACCAUGUUGCUUUGGCGGGCCCGCGUUCGUCGCCGCCGAGGGGUUGACCCCCCUGGGCCAGUGCCCGCCGAUAGCCCCCUCUUAAACUCUUGAUCAACCGUGAAUGUCUGAGUAAAAAAAAAUCAAGCACAAAACUUUCAACAACGGAUCUCUUGGCUCUC